RNAcentral lists this ribosomal RNA (253 nucleotides) under uncultured bacterium. RNAcentral describes it as "partial 16S ribosomal RNA". It matches the Rfam family "Bacterial small subunit ribosomal RNA", at positions 524 to 776 of the family's 1533-position model. The record is from RNAcentral.
UACGGGGGGGGCAAGCGUUGUUCGGAAUUACUGGGCGUAAAGGGCUCGUAGGCGGCCAACUAAGUCAGACGUGAAAUCCCUCGGCUUAACCGGGGAACUGCAUCUGAUACUGGAUGGCUUGAGAUUGGGAGAGGGAUGCGGAAUUCCAGGUGUAGCGGUGAAAUGCGUAGAUAUCUGGAGGAACACCGGUGGCGAAGGCGGCAUCCUGGACUGGUCCUGACGCUCAGGAGCGAAAGCGUGGGGAGCGAUCCGG